Molecule: long non-coding RNA, 195 nt
Organism: Hyaena hyaena (striped hyena)
Lineage: Eukaryota; Metazoa; Chordata; Mammalia; Carnivora; Hyaenidae
Exons: 2
Source: RefSeq, a predicted model, not a curated record
CCUAAGCGAAAAUCGGAUGCUUAACCGACUAAGCCACUCAGGAAUAAAGUUGCUUCCCGGAGAGAAAAACUUCAGUGUCAUGACCCUAUGCAAGAAUCCUGCUACACCAUCACAUGUGGAUCUUCCGUUAAUCAGAAUAUGAGUCCUGCUUUAUUUUAAAAAUAUUUUUCAUUAAACUGUACAAAAAGGCUUGAA